UUGCAUUCCAUGUGUUUGCAUUUUCUUUGUGUCUCUAGAAGCACAAAUUCUUUGUUCUCAAGCACUUGUAAGUAAGUAGAUUUGUUUACUGGAUUAAGUUAUUGAUUACUUAACAGUGUGAUAGGUUGCUGUGGAACAAAUAUGUCUUUAAAUCUCAGCAACUGCAAACUAGUCUGUCAUUCUUAACAGGAAGUGCUGCUUUCAGGCAGCAAUGAAAUACUGAAGAACUGUGCCAAUGGGAGAACAAAGUGACCCCUUGCAAGUGCUCAUGAGAAAAAAUGCUCUUUUGCUUGCAUUUUCAAAGGCAGUUCUGGAAGCUGGAUAAUCGAUUCUCAGCGAAGUGUAAUGUUCAUUGGACUGUGAAUUCAUUUAGCUGUCUUUGAAAAUCUCUUCAGGCUUCGUACCAUAUGGUUUAGUUGAUAAGAUCAGUACACUAGGCAAUCUUUUGAUACGUCCCCUGUCAUUUAAUCAGCAGGGUGUGAUUUCAAGAGCUCAAGGGACCAGAGCCUGAGAAUAGUCUUAUCCUCAUCUUGCUGAUUUCCUGAAACGCACUUUUGCAAUGGUUCAACACUUCAAUGCUUUAAAGUUUCUCGUGGAUAAUGACUGUUGAAUGAAUGUCUUGCCUUCCAUUGCAAGUAAUAGUUGUUAAUAUGGUGGCCUGAGUAAAAUAACAGACCUAGUGUUUCUUGCUUCAGCACUUAAGGUAAUUAGAGACAUGCUGAAAUCAUCCCAGGCAAUUAUAUCUUUAGAUAGGACUGCACAAUUAUAUUUUUGGAAGCAUUGUGCUUCUCUGGCAUGAUGAUAAUCAGGUAAAAACACUACUCAUUGAACUACUCUGCAGGGCCUACAAGACCUGCUCCAUGGCUUUCAAUAGAAAUAGUACAUCUGUAUAUAUGCAUUGUUCUGUGCAUAUAGGUCUGAUGCAUUCACCAGAAAUUCAUGAGCAUGUACCCUCAUUAGUAACACUGCCAUAUCUGCAAACACCUUUGGAUCAGUUUGGAGUAGGAUAGGUGCAAUGAAGUACGUGUUGUAUUUUUUGUUCACUGUGGAUUUCUCCCUUCCCCUGUUCUGCAUACUGGACCAAACUUUCUGUUUUGGAAAUGCAGGCUGCUGAAAAUACGCAUGAAGUGUGACAUAAUUUUGUCCAUGAAAUCUAGUUGAUACUGUUUAGUUAAUACUGUUUAUUUAGUAUUGAUGUAACCCCAGUAUGGAGUACCAUUUUUAGAUGUCUUCCAAAAGUCCAUAAUAAGUUUAUCAGUCUUUCUUCCCCCCUUUCUGUAUGUUUGUCUUCUAGCUUUUUAAAAUGUCUGACCUUUUUGCUGCUGUUUUGCUCACUCUCUUCCAUCCAAGAGGUGUAUAUCUUCUUUGAAAAGCUUACCUCUGCUUUUCUCAGAUCUAUACGUUGCAUAGUUUCUUAAAGGUACAUAGCAGUUUCCCCCAUGUGAUAACUAUAGAUUUGUGAGCCCAUUUCACCCAGGAUAGCACCUUUAAAGGAGGGAAAAAUGAAAGAGGCGUUUUCACUACACAAUGAUAUAUAUAUGAAUAGAAGAUGUCAUUGUCUAUACAAAGCAGGAAUUGUUUUAAUUAGAAUACUUUUGAAUUUUUUUCUAAUGUCUAACUUAUUGAGACAUGGAAUUCAUGGCUGCUUUUGAACCACAGUUCCCUAGCAAGAUGUCUGAAGAAUCUGAGUCAUUGGCAACCAUGGAGACCUAAUGCAUAUUUAGGCCCUUAUCAAGACUAUAUAUAUUUAGCAUUGAAAAACUAUCAAUAAAACUGGCCUUUAUACUUUUUAAUAAAGAAUAGACUAAAUUUGAUUAUAUUACUAACAUUACUUAUGCUACUCAGUCAUUACAUUGAGUAGAGCAUUGGUUCUCAGUAUUUCAGCAGCAGUCUUCAGUAAUACAGUUGUGCAGGGGGUGUUUUUUACCUUAGAAACUGAUUUCAGGAUGUGUUUCCAGGUUUUAAUGUCUUACCUUGGAAGUUACUGAUGUUGAGGGAAGUGUUACUAUUUGUAUUUCUGUGUGUCCAGUUCUGCACAUUUACUGAGAACUAGGUGUUGUUGAGCGCAGUGGAGUUUCUUUCUCCAGUAAAUGUGCAUAGGAUUACAGUCUUAGAGUAAGUAUAUUUUGCACAACACGGAAGUGACUUCUAUUGAUCUCUUGUACAAAGAUGAAUGACAUAAAAUGCUUUUCUAUUAAAUCACAAGGUUAUUAAAAUUGGAUUUAAAACUUAAA
Molecule: long non-coding RNA, 2234 nt
Organism: Heteronotia binoei (common prickly gecko)
Lineage: Eukaryota; Metazoa; Chordata; Lepidosauria; Squamata; Gekkonidae
Exons: 2
Source: RefSeq, a predicted model, not a curated record